RNAcentral lists this unclassified non-coding RNA (777 nucleotides) under Hevea brasiliensis (rubber tree). Lineage: Eukaryota; Viridiplantae; Streptophyta; Magnoliopsida; Malpighiales; Euphorbiaceae. The record is from RNAcentral.
ACCCAACAAGUACCAAAAAGUUGGUUGACUGUAAGUUCCAUUGAGAAACAUGCCAGUGAGCACCUUAUACAUGGCUUCAGUGAGAUGAACACCGUCGCAAGUUAUGCAUUCAGCAGGGUUUGGACAAGCUUUUGCAGAACUUGUGCCACAUGUAUAACUCAAUGUGAUAAUAUAAGGCGGACCUCCUGAUCCACAGCAUGCCUGAAAAGCCUCCUUCAAUGCAUAAGCCACUGGAUUCUUCAUAAUAGUGUGCUAGGCAUUCCAAUAAUCAAGAUAUGCAAUGGUAGCAGCAGGAAACUGCUUCAUUAGAUGUUGCAAUUUGGCUUGACAAACUGCAUUAUGGGUGCUACUUUGAUCGUUUACACUCUUGACGCAUCCUAUAUCAUCUUUGUCAUUGUUCGUACCCAUUGACAAGGCUAGUGGCAAGCAUCCUGUAGGAGGCAGACCACCUGCAUAGAUGCAAUGGCACUGCUGAUUGCAAGCUUCCGUACGGUAUCGUCAGACACAGAAGAUUUAACCAUACAAGCAUAUGCGUAAUCGUUGGCUCCAAGUUCACCAACCCAGAUCAAUGCAUCUUCAAGCAAUGCUUUGCACUGGGGGCUUGAUGACAGUGGACCUUUACACCCUUGCUUCUCUAAGAACUUAUUGAACCAAAUGAUCUGAUUUUGGAUUGACUGAAAAGGAAAGCCAACUCUAAUAUUGUUCUUAACAAAGAAUUUAGUAUAUAUGGCUGUAGAUCCAGCGACCGCAAAAUUCACCCCAUGAUCUGAUGAUUUG